AAUUUAAAAUGAACAAAGGAGAAAAGAUUACAGUAUAUGGGAAAUCUCAUGAUGAAGGUGGGAAUCAGCUGAUCACAGUUGGUCUGAGGCUGACUGACUGGCCCACACAAUCAGCUCCUUUAUCAAGUACAUUUAAUUACAUAAACAGCAGUUGUAGAAUACAGAUGCAGAGGCAACCCCUUGAACCUAACUUAUGUGGACAAGUGAUUAUGGAAUUCAUAAUACUAACAAGUGACUCAUUUUCAGACUGCCUACAAAACAUGAGCCGAUUCCCAGUUCAGUAAUCAAUGGAUAUUGUUUGAAAUUCUUUCUCGGCGUUAUAAAUAUAAAGCCUUCAUUGAAAUUAAACACUUGCCAGAUAAAUCCUUUAUUGCGAAUCCUACUGAGAUUCGAUUGACUUUUUGCCCUUUGAACUACAGGUUCCUGCUGAGCUCUCUGCCAGGGGAUGUGGCUGCCUGCUGCACUGUCAGAAACGUGUUCGCCACCCCCCUGCUGCUCAUUUCCCAGGAGCUCACUUGCUCGCGGCUCCGUCAUGCGAUCAGUUACCAGCCUGAUUUAUGUGAGAGGCAGUCCUGGCGCUCCACUGAGGAGGAUGACUCAGUGUGUUUGUAAGGCGAUUUAAACACACACCAGAUAGGGACACACUGGAAGCUCUUUCAUUCCCUCCAGCAUAGCAGGAUGCUUUUUUAGCACAGAAUAGAUUGGGAAACUGCUUAAAACACCAAUAACGUGAUUCAUAAAUGUGUUAAUACUUUAUGGGUACAUCAUAAACCUAAUUCUGGGUAAUGUACCAUGAUUCAAAACACUCCUAAACUUUUGUUGUGAUAUUUAAUGACGUGGAAUUCAGUGUGUUAUACUAAUAUAUGAGGACUGAAUACUGCUACUGCAAUCAUGUGGACAGUGUUUACUCUGCAUUGCCCUCUCGACCUGCUCCUGGGCCAGACCUCACCCACCAUCUAUAAGACUCAGAAGAGUAAGGUCUCAGGUACCAGGUCUGCGGAGCUGGUGAAGAGUGGGAUCAGAUAAGAUCUUCUGUAUUAUUAACCACUGAAGAAUUUGUUUGAGGAAGAGUGGCGUUAUGACAAUGUUUUAUUUGGGUUUUCACUCUGAAAUAUUGGGCGCAAUGUUUAAUACUAUGCAGGGGUGGUAUGUACUAUUUACAUUUUUAUUGUAUUUUCUAAAGGGAGGAAUUCGUAGAUAGUGUUUGGGAGGGUUUAUGAUUUUUCUUUUUUUUUGGUGGGGUUUUGGAUAACUUUUGGUGGUUGUUUCUUCUUCAGUUGGCUUAAGGAAGUAUAGUAAAAGUCAGAAGUCACCUCCACCCAUGGUGGCUGGUAUCAUUUUUUGCGCCAAUGAUGCUGAGCUCUUGGCUUCCUUCUCUCCUCUGAUGUCUCUUCCUAUGCUGCUGAGAGUCAGAGUCAUCUCCUCCCAGAUGUGCUCCUGUCAUCUUAAGAGCAGCCUCUCUGAACCUCGCUCUUCCUCCUGAGAACCCCUCUAACUCUAAUCCUCUGGGCUCCACCACCCUCUUCCCCUUCUUGUCUACAAAUAUCGCUGGUGUCACUCGACCUCUCCUUGCACACUUCUCCUCUGGCAAUGUCCUGCCUCUUCCUCUUGAGCAACAGUCACAGAACCCACCCCUUCCUUACCAACUGUUCUGCACAGCUCCCAUUCCAAGCCCUGGUGCUCUCCCUCCCAAACUACUGUGUCUCUUGGCUGGCUUCCCUGCCAGUGCUUUCCACCCAGUCCAACUCCAUCCAGAUCUCUGCCUUUUCUCUUCAUUACUUUUCACAUGCUACUCCAUUACUCCAAUUCCUUAUCUCUCCCUGCACUCCCUCCGGCCUGCUCCUCUCCUCCUCUCCUGCCAGACUAUCUGUCCUCCCCCUCAACUCCCCCACUUGCAGAGACCCCUUUCCUUCUCCGCCUUCUCCCCUCCGUGCUGGAAUGAACGUCCCCCAGGAAUCAGGAGAGCUCAGUCCCCGACCACUUUUCGGCGCCUGCUCAAAACCCAUCUGUUCAGGCAGCACCUGUGAUCUCUCAGCUCUCAAGUAGACCUUUCAGUAAGUCUUCCACUUUUACAUUAAAUACAUUUAAUUCUCAAUUGGUAAUGAAAUUCACUGGUUGCACUUAUGCACUGGAAAUAUGGGUGUCUGCUUUGCUGCUUUUCAUCCACACAACCUGUAAAUACUUGUAAUUAUUAUGGUGCUUGCAGCUAUUGUAUUUUUAUAGUAUUUGCUCAUAUUUGUAAUCCUAUCUAUUGUUUUGCUCUGUACCUGAAUGCAACGCUAAAUUUCAUAAACACUGCAAGCUGCCAUGGAUAAUGCAUGUCAUCAUCAUCAUCAUCGUUAUAUAGUCCUCAUUAAUAACUACAGGCAGCAACAAUAGUGUCUAAAGAGCAGAGCUUGUAGAACACUACAUCAAAAAUUGACUGGAAACACUGUCGUCUUCUUGUUUGUUCCAAACUGGUGUUGGGGUUUAGCAUCAUAUAAAUAUCCACGAGAAUUCAUGUUGGAAAAAAGUAAAUUCUCCCUGCCUGAGGAGUAACCCCUCAAAUAAAAUCUUUAAGUGUAUUACAAUGAUGACUUUAGCACAUGGCAAUGCUAUGGCAGGAAGUACUAUGUGCCCUUUCUCACCAUUUUUUUUUUAUUUUCCCAGGAAGAGAGGAAGAGGACAUUGAAUCAGUAUCCCUGUAAAUCGCACCAUCACAGGUUCUGCUCCUGGCUCAAAGUCAUCAGAGAUUCUUAACAGGUCUGGGGAAAGACACAUUCUGGGGUCUGACACGAACACUUCAACCACAGAGCAGAGUCUGCACACAGGAGCCACCGCGGAACAACUCCCAGGGUGAGGAAAAGGUAUGGUGAAUAAUUCUGAAUUUACAUUACGAAUAUGAAAAUAUCACAGCCUGAGAGUUGUUGACAUAUUAAUGUUCAUGAACAUCACAAGAUGAUAAAUUAAUUUGCUUGCCCAAGCUGUACAGACAUAUCUAUAGAUCUCGAAGAUUGCUAUUGCCAGAAAAGCUUGCGGGUGGCUUGAUGAGAAAAAAAAAAAUCUAAAAACAAAUAAACAGCUGGAAUUUAUACUUCAAUUGAGGAUUUAUAAAACUUGCAGGGAUCUUCGGAUUAAUGGUAAGGAGGUAUCCGACUGUUUUGAAUAAUCAUAUUAGGUUUUCACAACUGCAGAAACAUUAAUUUAGAAGAUAGUAUGGUUUCUGCAACUUAAGGAUAUGUAUACAAGGAAUUUCAUAGAAUCGGUGUGUAAAAGUUAAUUGGAAUUCAUCUGUAAAUAACAGGAGAGAUAAAAUCUGGCUGAUAAGGAUGCAGGAUAAGGAACCACUCAGAAUUAGAAAAGGACAUUAAGGGAAAAUAAUACUGGCUUAAAUCUCUGCCCCAGCUUUUCACGGUCGGUGUGAAAGGAACUCUACAGUACCUCUUACAAAGUUUUCCCCUCUUCAUCUGAGUCACCCAUGCCUGGUUACUGGCCACAGUUGUUCCUUCCACCAGUAAGAGGUGUCAAACACUGAAACAUUCACAGGCCGCCGUGACUCACGAUGAGGAGUAGGCCGGUCUUUAGAAAAAAACCUCGGUUUCCUCAGGCAGUGUCCAUAUCCUAGAGUCGCUGUACACUCAUUGUUUCCUUCAGAAGUGCUGAGACGGUUCCAGAUGUAACUUCUUUCUCCAAGUCAUGUCCGCUUGGCCCAGAGUGAAAGUGCACUUACAGUGCACUUCACAGGACAGGGUGGUUUUGUACACCCACUUGUUUUUGAGUAACAGGGAAAUUACUUUUGCAGGAACAUCUUAAGGAUAUACAGUAUGUGAUUUUCUCCUUUUCUGCCAGAAGAAUGGUUGUGAUGAGUUAUUUGUCAGAGCUCUUAGCAUGUUGCAGCAUUAGGUACUGUUCUUUGUCAUCCCCAUGUCAUGCCAAAUUAUUCAUCCCUUUGCACAGCCCUUUGUGGUUCCCAUGGCUAAAAAAUAAGUCAAAGCCCAUCAUGCCUGUCCAAGACAGUGCUGGCCGAUGUCACAUCUGCUUCCCAUAUCACACAAAGUCAAAAAGCAUUUGGACAUUAUCUUCCCCAAUUCAAGCACACAGUAAAAUGAUUUAAAGGUAACUUUCAAUGUCCCUGCCUUGCUGCUCACUGGAUGACAAGUAAUAAUUAACAGGGAUUCGCAACAAGCGGACAUGUGAUGUGUCGUGAAUAUGCUGUGAGUAUUCUCAGAUUUGAUGUGAUCUCUAUGUGAUGGGAGCUCUCCUGCAUGGACCAUCACAUUGCUUGAUUUCUUCCUCAUCAACAGCUUUCCCUGCUGAGUCACAUCUGACAUACUGUACUCCACCCAGUAUUUUGUGUCACUCAGCUUGGCUUGAAUGCAGAUAUAGCAACCAGAUCUUUGUUCACUGAUGAUAAUGUCCCAAGGUAAUCAGCCUCUCUCUUUUAAUAAUUCCUCUAUAGGACUCUCAUGCACUUUUUGUGCUGGUGGGGAUUCACUUCGUCCACCUCAGUUUGACAACGUGUGGCAGUCAUUCUAUGCCAGCAGCCCCACUGCACAGCAGCUCUGGUGCUGACGUGAGGGACUGGUGCCUCUUGUUACCACACACUGGGGCAGUAGUUUGAAACUUCUGGUCCAGGGCGCCACCUGCUGGGCUACCUGCACCAUUUACAGUAGCAACCUGGUUUUCCUUGAAGAUCUCCUGUCCCGGGACUGACCUGGACCAUCCUUGUCCAGUUUUUAAGAUCUGACAAAACUAGGAUACAAGGUGCUGAUUUCAACAGAGACAAAUGUAACGACCAUACACGGACUCUAAACAAUGGAAAGUUGAAGGCCUGUGUACUCUGUAUGUUACAAUUACAUCGUCUGGCAUCCAACAACAAGGAUAGAGAUUUCUGGCACAUCACCCACCCAACAACAAAGACCCAAACCGAAGAGUCAUGAAAGGUUUACACAGAAAUAUCAAGCUUCAAUCACGUUUGAUAAGUUGCAAAUUGCAGCUAAUGCUGCAUUUGUUAUUUCAGCUGCGGGGAAUGACCAGGAGGAAGUCAAAAACAUCGCGCAGGCAUGAAACCGAAGAAAAAAAGUCUAAACAAAACAGAGUGAAACAGUGCAGCACACUGGACAAUAACAAAUCUCACUAUGAUUUGUUAUUUGGUCCUAUGGGGGACAGGAAGAAUGCAGUUCCCAAUCUGGAUAUAUUCUUCCAGGAACAUUACCAAUCAAGGAUCCGUUACCAACUGUUAAUGGAAUACUUGUUGCAUCUUUACUUUCUUCCACAAUGCCCUGACCACACUUGGACUCAAUCUUCGCCUGAGGGAAUGUACGCGUGCAGAUAUGUGUACAGUAUAUAGCCAUUGCCAUGACUUACAAAGUGUGUACCCAGAAUGCCAUUACUCACGCCAUCGAAAUGUGGGCAAUGUAAAAUGCACCAAGAGACACAAAAAAAAUCCAUGAAAAUUGAAAAAGAAGUCUCUUCUCGGUUGGCCUACUGAUUCAAAAAAGAAAAGAGUAAAAACACACUGAAACAUAUUAAAGUCCAAAACACCUUUUGGUUAACCUGAUGUUGCAUAAUUACAGUAUGUAGUUAUUAACAAUUGGACAUAUACUGUAUAUAGCCUUUUGAUCCUAUUUCUGUGAAUAACCAAAGGACUGCAAUUUAUCAGAAUUCACGUUUGACGGUAUAGGGUACCAAACUCAAAUAAAAAACAUUUUCAAGAAGUUCUUUGUCCCCUCUAAUGUAUCCAUCUAACGUUCAGUACAAUCAGUCUGACAAAUGGUCUAUCUACUGUUUACAUAUAUGUUUAAUUUAGAUAUACAGUAUAAUGUGUUUAAAAAGCCACAGCUAUUAAGCUCUAAACUAAUUUAUAUGUAAAUAUGCAAUAUGUACCCUGAGUGUAAUGAAAAUUCAGCUGUAGAGCCCCGGGAAAUGUCGAGUUUUCUUCAGAUCUAUUCAGCAUAUGUGUCAGAAGCAGGGAUGACCUUGCUAUUUGGAAUUUAACCUUUCUGCUAAACAUGCACUGUGUCCGUUGACCUGGGUUAUUAAAAUGUGACAGGCAUAAAGGGGCAUUCUGACAUCUGCGCUUACCCCGAAUCACCUUCGGGGAAAAUUCUUUGUCCUUGAGCGAUCUUUUCAAGUUCUGUCCUUGACUCACUGCAUGAAUAUUUCAUGAAACUAUGGACCAGAAAGCAUGGAAAACAGAAUGAUCACUUUUUUUAAAAAAAAUUUGGCCUGUAUUUGCAAAUAACUAGGAGAGUAUUAGCCGCUUUUUAUAACUUUGCCAAACAGUUUGCAAAUUCUGGCAAAGGACAGAAUAACUUUUUUAAAAGAGGCAAUCAAUUUUGGUGGUGUUGAUACAAACUGCCUUUAGCCUUCUAUUAAUUUAAACUGCCUGGUCUGAUACCAUAUUUUGUUGUUAUAUCUUGUGAGCUGCUCCAACAGCUCGUCUGAGCACUACAGUGUUUGUAAUACUUAAAUACUGUACUUCCAAUGAGAAAAAACCCCCAUAAACAAUUCUGAAUAACCUCAGGGCAGAAACAGUUCACAAACCAUCUGACCUUCUGCUAGUUGCUUUAAUACAGCAUGGGAGGACACGAGUGAAAUCAUAAAAUCUUAUUGUGAAGAAUAAGGUGGAUCUAAACGGAGGGAUUAAUGUGCCAGUAAAGUAUUAUAAUCAGCUAGAUGUCUGUUCACGUAUUUUUCACUCACGAGUGUGUGUGUGUGUGUGUGUGUUUUGGGUAAAUUGCUAAUUGUAAAACAUUUUUAUAUUCUGUUUUCCCUUUCGGUUUUCAUGGUAAUAAUUUUUAAGUGCUUUCAUAAUACAUUUCAUGUUGUUGUUGUUGUUUUAAUUUCCUUUACCUCCCAAUACAGUCCUUAUUCUUCCUUUUUAUGUGGUUGCUGAAGGGGGGUCACUUGGCAGUGGUCUCUUCAGUUAAGUCUUCUUAUAACAUUUUCAAAUGAAUUACUGAGUGAAUUGUGAAUUAUUCUUAGUAUUUAAAUCAUUGUUCUUUUUUAAGGAUAAUCUUCUGUAUCUGCUUGGUUUCCGUUUUUUUUAACUUGUAGACCACUCUGAGAUGAUUGCUUUUGAAAUGCAUUAUAUACACAUGAAGUCAAAUUAAGUUCACUAGACUGCAUUUAUGUUUCAUUCCACCACUUAGAACAAAAAAAAAAUAUUUUUGCAACUGGUACGAUGUCCUUGAAUGUACUGCAACACACUGUACAACAAUCUUAAUGUGGAAAUCAACAGGCAGCAUAUUUCCGGUCAUGGUGGACAAGAAAACGCUACACGAAUACAAAUAAUAUUAACGACAGAUCUUUUAAAUAGAUCACCAGAACCUAGACACUUAUUUUGUAUAUAUUGAUGAAUUGUUUCCAUUUCAUUUUGUUUCAUUUUCACUAAUUGGCAACUUACUCUGUGUUUACAUGAAUACAUUUGCCGGUCAUUUCUGACUGAGAAUGAGAAAAAAAAGUGUUUCCCUCCAAGCAAUACGCGACAUGAUAAAACGACGUGCAUUACAAUGUAGCAAAAUAAUAAUGUACAUAGGACAUACCAGGAGCACAGUGACUGAGCAGCCAGUGAAGGCUUCAUGGUGUCUUCGGCAUAUUCACCUGACCUCUCUCUAGCUGCUGCUCUGCUCUUGGCUGAAGCCCAAAUGUCUCGUUAUGAGACGUCGCUAAUAAUCUCUUACCUGUAAUGCACAUUAAAAAACCGUUGCUUCAGUGUUACAGUGCUGUUGUGCAGUAUUUCUGAACCAGCUGUGCGAUGGGUUUUUUGUUUUAGAUUUUUAGCCUCAUUACAGCGUUACCCAUUUUGCGAACUCCGCUGUGAAGAUGAGUGGCUUCUGGUGUGUUUAUCUCUGGAGACAUUUCCUUCAAUCGAAGAAACAGAUGGACUUGCA
This is a non-coding RNA of Lepisosteus oculatus (spotted gar), 7874 nucleotides long. The record is from RefSeq and is a predicted model, not a curated record. NCBI's taxonomy places the organism in Eukaryota, Metazoa, Chordata, Actinopteri, Semionotiformes, Lepisosteidae.